Molecule: long non-coding RNA, 4372 nt
Organism: Acanthopagrus latus (yellowfin seabream)
Lineage: Eukaryota; Metazoa; Chordata; Actinopteri; Spariformes; Sparidae
Exons: 4
Source: RefSeq, a predicted model, not a curated record
UCCUUCCCUCACCUGUUGUUUUCCCCUCCUCUCUCCACCUGCAGCUCAUCCCCUCAUCAGUGUGUAUAUAAUCUUUGUGCUCUCCUCUUGUCUUCGUCAGAUCGUUCCUGUUUCCCACUGUUACUGUCAUGGUUUUGCUCGCCUCAUCUGCCUCCCGAGUGUUUCUGCGUCUGGGUCCUACCCGCCUCUCUGUCAUUCUGGAUUACGGCCACAGUUUGAGAGUGAGGAUGGAUCUGUAUAAGUGUCUCCGCGAGACCUAACAGCAUGCGUCCCCUGCGCUCUGGCCCCCGCCUCCCCCUCGACGCUCCGGGUAACUCGCCGUGGGUACAUGUGGGGGCCUCGGCGCCUGCGCUGCCCAGGAUCCCCGCCGUCACCUCGCCGGGCGACUGACACCGGAGUAAUUUCAUCUGACAGGUGACUUAACGAAGCUUUGGUCCGUGGCAGGCAGCAGACCAAAAGGCUGGAGGAUAUAUGUUGGGCCUGUCAGACUUGUUUUCAGCUGGGAGCUACGUGUCCUGUCAAUAUUUAGAUUUGCUGCCGGUUUCUGAUAGCCCGCGUUAUCAGAGCAAAGAGAAUGAGAUAUUGCGUGCUGCGCCUUACUGUCUGUUUAAUCCACAGGGGAAUUAUUCAAACACCAGCCCGGUGUCAGACAUCGAGGAACACGGUGUGAUGAAUAAAGGCUUCGUACUGUGUUUACCUUUUUCACAAUUCUCCUUCAGAAACACGAAGUCCUAUAACUCUCCCACUCGAGACAUAAGUAACGUCACACUGAAGCCUCGGCGCUCCAAAACGGAGCAGACAGGCCAAAUGAGAUGCUAUGGGUGCUGUUCAUGACAGCAGACAGGGGUCACGGACGGCCAGCUGCUCAGCCACUAAAUGUCUGACACAUUUAUUGGACAUGAAAAAUGAAAAUAUCGAUGGAUUUAACUCCAGGGUCAGAGUUAUCAGAAGAGACGGCUGAGACACCGCAGAACGGAGAAGGAGCCGCCGCCGCGAUCACACACGGCCCACAUAAUCAUAAGCGAUGCUGUCACCAUCUCAUUAGACAAGCAACAGGUGUACGCAAUCAAACGGCAGGUGUUGGUAAUUAUAUGACAGCAACACGGCCAAUGAGCACUGUUUGUGGCAAUGUUCCAUAUUGGCAGGAAAUGCAUGAAGUGUCAUGAAAUGUAAUGAAUACAAACUCAUCUCCCCGACGAGUUUAUUUCCACAAAGCAGCAGCAGGCAUCAGCUGUCAGAGUCGGGUCAGUCGAGGAUGAGGCGCUUCGCUCUUUCAUACCUGAAAAUCGUGUUUCUGAAGGUCAAGGACGCGCUGUUUCCUGUGCCGCGUCUUUAUUCGUCUGUAACUGGAGGAUGUAAAUAUCGUGCAGACGUCUGUUCGCUGAGCAGCGUCUGCCUAACGAAGUGCCUUCACGAGUGUUUCUGAGCAGUUCAUCCUUUUUCUCAGAGAUGAUCCCUCGGCCAAGUCGAGAACUGGAGACGGAGCCGCCGAGAGACCGAUCUCUACGACUUACUGUGAGAAAUGCAACCACAACAGUUCUUAUCCUGUGAAGCCUGGACAGAAUCCCCCAAUCUUCUUCUUUUUUUUUUUUAAUUAAGAAAAAAAAAAGUAUGGGUGAUUUCCACAAAUACACCACGGGACUGUACACAAUCUGUACUUGUUAUUACAGGACAAUCAAUGUUUUACAACAAGGGAGGGCGACUGUAUAUCAGCUGCAGGGAUUAGAGGCUCCUAUGGAGCCGAUACCGCUCGGAGGAAUCACAGAGGCCACAGGCUCAGGAGAGGAGGAGGGACAGACCUGCGCCUGGGUACAAAUCAAUACCCAGCAUGCAGUGAUAAAUCCUCCCAGCUCCGAUGACCGACCGGCCCUCACACCCUCGCACACAAAACAAUCUCGGUCCCCCAUGUCAAAACAGCCAAAAGCUAUCACUGCCAUGGAUCACAGGCACGCCGAUGUGUCAGCUGAAAGUCAGCUUAGAGCCGAGCUGAAAGAGAUCGCUGGUCCUCGGCUUCGGUGGACUCUACUAUGUUUAGAAGGUAUUUAUGGAACGGAGAGUUUAGCUUCAGGUUCACAGACAGUUUAAGCUCAGGUAUCCAUUUUUAGGAGGGAACUUUGUCCUGGACUCGAACUUUUCAUGCAGAUUUUUAUGAAUCAUCCAUCACAUAGUCACUUCAGACAGAGUGCAUGCUAACGUUGUAAGCUAAGCAACUACAGUGAAGAUUUCAACCGUCAAAAGAGUUUCAACAACGUCCUUUCAAAUGAUUGUGGAAUUUAUUCCUUUAGGAUGAUGCUGCGAUGUUGUUCUGCACUGCUGUUUGUGGACUACGAAACUUUCAAUCCGCAUGAACGCGAGCAAAUGCUGAACUUUGUGUGGACCUUCCCCUUUAAAGAUAAAUAAACAGAUGUGUUUUUUUUAAGCUGCAUAGAUUUUUGAAACCAGAGACAUCUGAUACUUCUGACCGCGUCGUAGCUAUUUAUAACCCACUGAAGCUUGACUCGGUGUCACUGACUCGCGACGCUGAUGGGUUGAUCUGUCCAAACACAUCGAGUAAAGCCAACUUUAAACCAAACCACAAACAUGUUUAUAAAGAUAAGAAUCAGACAAAUAUGACUCAACAUGUCGCCCUGUCUGCAUGCAUCACUGAUCGGUCUGUGACGGUAAGACUACGACACAAAAGACGCCAUUACACGGCCGAGCAGCUCCACUAUUGUCGGCAUCGGGCCACUUGACUCAGACAUGUUGAUGUAUGAAGGGUGUCGUCAUUCAAACAGCGUGUGGGCUUUGGUGCAAGGCCACAGCACAGGUUGCUAUGUGAAAAAAAUCAAUAGGAGGCCAGCACUGUGAAAGGAUCAUGUCUGCUGCAGAGGGACGCACCAGGAAGCCACAACAUUUUGUUUAUUCCACCUCGCAUAUUGGGAGGUAACUAACACCAUAAACUACCGUGAAAUAUAAGGUUAUUUUCUCUUAUAUAUGCAACAGCUCUCAAUCAUAAAUCUGACGCACUAUCAAAACAAAUUGAACCUGGUUUACUGCAUCCGACCGCCGGUGAGCAGGAGUAGCGAGCUGAGAGGGGAAGGCUGCAGUGUUUUCAGGGAUGAUAUACUGUUCUACAUUCACACAGCUGAUGCAUUUUUUAUGUCCAAAAAAAAAAAAGAAAAAACAGGGAGGCUUUCUCACCUUCAAUUUUAAAAGUGUUUACUCAGCAGUGGACCUGAGAGCUGAUAAAAUAAGUUAGAGCACCUGAAUUAAAAAUGAUUCUUCACCAGAGAAACUGUCCCCUCCAAAAAAAACGCUCCCCUGCGGCGUCUCCUUCCUUGGUGAUAAUGCGAUUGGAAAAAAGGUCCUGGCUCACCAAUAAAAGCCAACCCCAGUGCAGUCCCUCUCUCCUCUCCUCUCCUCUCUCUGUCUGCAUCCCUGUUAUGUAGUUUGGCUCUUCUAUCUCCUUUUUAUGACUUCAGUGAUCUGCAUUUUGUACGUGCCAUAAAUACGGGCAGCCCCGAGGGGUAGAAACAGAACAUUAUUGGGCAAACUGCGCCACCGAAAAGAGAAGAGACGACCACAUUUCACAAACACAUUAAAGGAAACUGAACUUAGAACAAAAGAGGAGAGACGUGCAAAUGUGAAAAAAAAAAAAAAAUACGCCUACACGCACAUCUUAAGCUUACUUGUUAGCAUAUUAGCCUAUAUUUUGGUUAUAUGGUCCAUAAAAAAAUGUGUAAAUAAAGGACAAAAAAAAAACAAAAACAUUUUACAGUGGUUGAUGUGCCGGAAUGUUUCUUUUCCAGGAUCGACUCCAACUUUUGUAGGUAUGAGAGGUUUUGUCACCGUUGCACCUCAGGCAAGAUGGUUCUCUGCAACAUUCUGGAAAUAUUUCACUGAAAAGAAAACGCUUCAACAUGCACAUUUACUUCAAGGCGUACGUUUUCAAGACAUAGCAUUAUCCCGACCUGCCGAGUUCUGUUUGUAGUUAGCACGUGAUGUUACAUUACAUCUGUCAAAUUGUCACAGAAACCCUGGAUUUGUGUUUUUGACAGUAGUUUAGCACUCAGAGAAAAUGAGUGUGCAUUUCUACGUAACGUUGCUUUAAGUUAGCCGGUGUCUGGCGGCAGAGCGUUGUGUUUGAGGGACAGACGUGGCUAAGUUAGCUUAAAUGAGCACCAAAAAACAAAAAAAAAACAGUGUAAACAGCUCAGUGGGUCUGCCAGCCAACUGUGGACACAGCUAGGCUAGCAGUUUCUCUUGUUCAUAGUCAUGCUAAGCUAAGCUAAGUUAAGCUGUGCAGCAUCUGACUGUAGAUUCAAACUCACAGCAGACGUGAGCAAGAAAGCAAAUAGGCACUUUUCAAUAAAUGUCGUACUUGUGCAUUGAA